Molecule: long non-coding RNA, 118 nt
Organism: Melanotaenia boesemani (Boeseman's rainbowfish)
Lineage: Eukaryota; Metazoa; Chordata; Actinopteri; Atheriniformes; Melanotaeniidae
Exons: 4
Source: RefSeq, a predicted model, not a curated record
AAUAUUAUCAUCUGCAGGUUGCAAGUUUUUGGGCUUGUUUUCUUAAGUGUAGUUGCUUACUCAGGCUUCCUCUGCUCCCUUUGUGAAGCCCUCCUGAUUCUCUUACAGUUGUCCAUAA